GGGACACUGUCAGGUGGGCAGUUUGACUGGGGCGGUCGCCUCCCAAAAGGUAACGGAGGCGCUCAAAGGUUCUCUCAGUACGGUCGGAAAUCGUACGUAGAGGGUAAAGGCAAAAGAGAGCUUGAUUGCAAGACAUACAGGUCGAGCAAGGAUGAAAAUCGGACUUAGUGAUCCGGUGGUUCUGCGUGGAAGGGCCAUCGCU
RNAcentral lists this ribosomal RNA (202 nucleotides) under Clostridioides difficile. Its description in RNAcentral is "partial 23S ribosomal RNA". It matches the Rfam family "Bacterial large subunit ribosomal RNA", at positions 2248 to 2449 of the family's 2925-position model. The record is from RNAcentral. Lineage: Bacteria; Bacillati; Bacillota; Clostridia; Peptostreptococcales; Peptostreptococcaceae.